RNAcentral lists this ribosomal RNA (253 nucleotides) under uncultured bacterium. Its description in RNAcentral is "partial 16S ribosomal RNA". It matches the Rfam family "Archaeal small subunit ribosomal RNA", at positions 474 to 727 of the family's 1478-position model. The record is from RNAcentral.
UACCAGCACCCCGAGUGGUCGGGACGAUUAUUUGGCCUAAAGCAUCCGUAGCCGGUCCUACAAGUCUUCCGUUAAAUCCACCUGCUUAACAGAUGGGCUGCGGAAGAUACUAUAGGGCUAGGAGGCGGGAGAGGCAAGCGGUACUCAGUGGGUAGGGGUAAAAUCCGUUGAUCCAUUGAAGACCACCAGUGGCGAACGCGGCUUGCCAGAAUGCGCUCGACGGUGAGGGAUGAAAGCUGGGGGAGCAAACCGG